RNAcentral lists this ribosomal RNA (495 nucleotides) under uncultured bacterium. Its description in RNAcentral is "partial 16S ribosomal RNA". It matches the Rfam family "Bacterial small subunit ribosomal RNA", at positions 28 to 507 of the family's 1533-position model. The record is from RNAcentral.
GACGAACGCUGGCGGCGUGCCUAAUACAUGCAAGUAGAACGCUGAAGGAGGAGCUUGCUUCUCUGGAUGAGUUGCGAACGGGUGAGUAACGCGUAGGUAACCUGCCUGGUAGCGGGGGAUAACUAUUGGAAACGAUAGCUAAUACCGCAUAAGAGUAGAUGUUGCAUGACAUUUGCUUAAAAGGUGCAAUUGCUUCACUACCAGAUGGACCUGCGUUGUAUUAGCUAGUUGGUGGGGUAACGGCUCACCAAGGCGACGAUACAUAGCCGACCUGAGAGGGUGAUCGGCCACACUGGGACGGAGACACGGCCCAGACUCCUACGGGAGGCAGCAGUAGGGAAUCUUCGGCAAUGGACGGAAGUCUGACCGAGCAACGCCGCGUGAGUGAAGAAGGUUGUCGGAUCGUAAAGCUCUGUUGUAAGAGAAGAACGAGUGUGAGAGUGGAAAGUUCACACUGUGACGGUAUCUUACCAGAAAGGGACGGCUAACUACGUG